GUGCCAGCAGCCGCGGUAAUACGAAGGGGGCUAGCGUUGUUCGGAAUUACUGGGCGUAAAGGGCGCGUAGGCGGUUGUCCAAGUCAGGUGUGAAAGCCCAGGGCUCAACCCUGGAUGUGCACUUGAGACUGGGCGGCUUGGGUUCGGGAGAGGAUGGUGGAAUUCCCAGUGUAGAGGUGAAAUUCGUAGAUAUUGGGAAGAACACCGGUGGCGAAGGCGGCCAUCUGGACCGAUACCGACGCUGAGGCGCGAAAGCGUGGGGAGCAAACAGGAUUAGAUACCCUGGUAGUCCACGCUGUAAACGAUGAGUGCUAGACGUUGGGGGGCAUAGCCUUCCGGUGUCGCAGCUAACGCAUUAAGCACUCCGCCUGGGGAGUACGGCCGCAAGGUUAAA
This 394-nucleotide ribosomal RNA is filed under the name uncultured bacterium. RNAcentral describes it as "bacterial SSU rRNA". It matches the Rfam family "Bacterial small subunit ribosomal RNA", at positions 505 to 898 of the family's 1533-position model. The record is from RNAcentral.